Molecule: long non-coding RNA, 444 nt
Organism: Dioscorea cayenensis subsp. rotundata (Guinea yam)
Lineage: Eukaryota; Viridiplantae; Streptophyta; Magnoliopsida; Dioscoreales; Dioscoreaceae
Exons: 4
Source: RefSeq, a predicted model, not a curated record
GGAACCGCGAAGCCCAAGGCCUCGCAAACCUCAAAAUUCCUCUCGAUUAGGGUUCAUCAAAGGUCUGGCAAUGGCUGCAUUCUGGAAGCGAUUUCUUGAGCAACUUCUUAGGCUGGGAAGAGAACCAUUUUUGUGUGUUUAAAAUCAGGGAAUAUUGAUGGCAUCGAAGGAUGGAGAGGUUGUGUGUUCCUUUGCUAUGUGGUGUUGGACCUCAACAUUAUCCAUGAUCUUUCAACCAUUUAAAAGUAUGUCUUUUCCUUUCCUAUUUUAGCAAGAAGCUCCCAGUUUGUGUAACACUCUUACACAUUGUUAUCUAUAUGACAAUUUCAUGGCAAGAUCUUUGAGAUAUCUAGGGCAUAAGUAAGCUUAUUGGAGCUUUAGCUCAUGCAAAGGCUAGGAUGUAACUGCAUAGCAGAAUGGAACAAAACUUUCAUGAACUCUUAG